CGUGCCAAGACACCCGCUCCCGAUCCAUGGCGCCACCGCCACCGCCACCUCGUCCAAGGAAAUCGCUGGGAAUGCGUCUUCAUCCUGCCAAUCCAUGGCGCCGCCGCCACCACCGUCCCUCACCCUUCCGACGCCAUCUUCGGCUCCCCCUCCGCCGCGAGAGGAAAUCGCUGGGGAAAUCCCGACACCUGCUCCCCCGCCUCCUCCUCUGCUCCCAGGUAUCCACAGAUCUCACCUUCCCCUCCCCAACAGCCAGCCUCUCCUCCGGGACGAAUCCCUCGGGCCAUGGAUCGACCUAAGCAUGGAUCGACCUAAGCAUCUCAUUGCUGCGAGAUGAACUGCAAAGUGUAGUGCAGAAUUUUUCUGACUAGAAAAGCUUGGCACUGAAUGUCUGAAUCGCAUUGAGAGGCUGUGUGUUCCAAAAAUCCCCCCUCCCCCAUACACCUCCGUCGCCAGAGCCUGUCCGCUCCGCUGCCACCCCUCAUCCCGAGGACUUCCUGCUAGCCGCCGGUGGCAAGAAAGCCCGAGGACCACCACCUGUUCGCGACCAGGCCAUUGUCGCCCCCUCGUCCACUGUUUCGCUGUUGCUACCGCCUCUCUGUCAUCUGCUUCAGCAGCUACAGAUCCACCCCGGCAUCAUGUCUUCAGAGGAGCUCACAACCAGGAUGCUAGAUUUGGCGGUGGCUUCGCAGGCCCCGAUGGCCAGCCAAAUCAGUUCUUACUUCAUACUUCCGAUUUGUUUAGCAUUGAGAGGCUGUGUGCAAAAAGGGUGCUGGACUUACUUCAUACUUCAUACUUCCGAUUUGGCAGACAAAUAGACUGGAACCGUAACCCAGCAAGACUGAAGACUAUAGGAUCAGCUUUGUGGAGCAAGUUUAUAUAUUCUCCAAGUUGCUGUUGCUUCGUCAGGAUGAGCUUAGGAGUUUCACAGUGAAACCAAGUUGAUUCAUGGUGCAAGUUGCUGUUGCUUUGUGGAGCAAGUUGCUGUUGCUUUGUGGAAGUAUACAUCUUAUCCUGUAGUUUAAUAAUUAUCCGAAAGAGUGUAAGUUGCAGAGAUAUGUUUAAUCUGAAGAGAGAUUCGGAGUAUUUUUAUCUGAGAAAUACUAUUUUGUUGCAGUAUAUUUUUAUCUAAGAAAGUAUAUGUUUUUCUGAA
Hordeum vulgare subsp. vulgare (domesticated barley) is the source of this 1153-nucleotide long non-coding RNA. RefSeq lists it as uncharacterized. The record is from RefSeq and is a predicted model, not a curated record. The transcript is spliced from 4 exons. Lineage: Eukaryota; Viridiplantae; Streptophyta; Magnoliopsida; Poales; Poaceae.